AGAGCGAGCUACGCUGCAGGAGCGCAGUUACCAGCCGGCUGCGAUCACGUGCCUGGGAGGAGGAGCUGAGACCUCAGGGGAGGGGCGCGCGGUAGCGUCCCGGGUCCCCUAGCAGGGCUCUAGAGACCACGUGAAGUCUCCUCGACAGCUGCUUUGCCUCAGGCAUAAAUCAGAAGAGGAAAACCAGCUUCUGGACCUGGAGAGAGGAUGAAAGGGAAUAGGAAUUGAGGGAAGCGGAAGGGAAGAAUAAGGGACCCCUGGAGAGUCCCUACCAAGCCAGACAUAACAAACAAAAGUCCUCUACUACUGAGGAAGACAGAACAGGGAAGCCAGCAGGGGAAGAAAAAGAUGCUGCUGCUCUUGAUGCCUCAAAAACAGCAAGGAAGAACCCAAGCAACUGAUGUACACACCCUUGGAACAAAUCUGCCCCAGAAGUACAAGACACACUCUUCGAAUUCAUGGAAUAAAUGGGAGGAGCUGGUGUAGUGAAGGAUGAAGAGAAGGCAAUGCAUUGGUUUAGACAAGCCUCCCAGCAGGACCAUCCUGGUGCUGCCUUUAACCUUGCAGUAGGAACACUGAAAAACAUGACUGCCUCCAUGGAAGCAGGGGAUGUAGAAAUGCUCCUUAAUGUUGCUGCAAAAUGGGGGAUCCAAGAAGCCCAAGAACUUCUGGAGAAUGUUAUUUGGACUAAAAGCAAGCUCUUGCCAACUGAAAGAACCAGG
Molecule: long non-coding RNA, 722 nt
Filed under: Homo sapiens (human)
Lineage: Eukaryota; Metazoa; Chordata; Mammalia; Primates; Hominidae
Description: non-protein coding lnc-DAPP1-2:9
Source: RNAcentral